RNAcentral lists this ribosomal RNA (253 nucleotides) under uncultured bacterium. RNAcentral's name for it is "partial 16S ribosomal RNA". It matches the Rfam family "Bacterial small subunit ribosomal RNA", at positions 524 to 776 of the family's 1533-position model. The record is from RNAcentral.
UACAGAGGUCUCAAGCGUUGCUCGGAAUCACUGGGCGUAAAGGGUGCGUAGGCCGCACGGUAAGUCAGAGGUGAAAUCCCGGAGCUCAACUCCGGAAUUGCCUCCGAUACUGCCGUGCUUGAGGACUGGAGAGGAGAUUGGAAUUCACAGUGGAGCAGUGAAAUGCGUAGAUAUUGUGAGGAACACUAGUGGCGAAGGCGAAUCUCUGGACAGUUCCUGACGCUGAGGCACGAAGGCCAGGGGAGCAAACGGG